CAUGUGUUAUAGUAACCCAACUAUGGUAAAUAUGUAUACAUAUUAUCGUAAAUUAGUAUAUAAAAUUAUCGUAAAUGGAGGUAGAUACAAAAUAACAUAUUUUGUAGCUAGCUACAGAGUAAGGAUUGAGCUGCCUCCGCGUGUCUCUGACUCCAUCUAUCUGUCCACUCCACAUGCCUCUACGUGCUUUUAGUUCAUAUAUAUGGAUUCCUAAACUCUAGUUUGCUUAUCUUUAGUUCUAGUUCGAUACAAACAUACAUGGGUAUAAAUAUAGCUCAUAGGCCAAUUCUAGAUCUCCCUGGAGCCAUUCCCAUUCCACCUGCAAGUCUUAUCCAUCCCAAGAGCUGUGAGAUUGAUAAAUAGUUGCAUUGGGUUUCAGGCAAGAUAAUAUCAGAUGGCAGCAAAUGCAUUGUAGGCCAGGAGCGGAGCUCAACGGGCACUUCUGUUCGCUUGUCUUAUAAGCUAUACAUUUUCUGUCAGCCAGCAGUGUUUUCUCUAACAAUAAAUCAGCGAUAGUAUUUUUAGCCAUGACUUUUCAGACAAGCGAAUAGGCAUGGGAGGCGUCAGGACUUGAAAUCUACCUCGGUGUUGCAGUUCUAAUGAGAUGAUCGAGCAAGUGAUGACGCAUUCUAUCAGGCAUUUUGCUCCCUAACACUAAUUCAUUUUUUUCGUGUGGUUAGAGGUCAAAUGAUGAGUUCAGUUUCUUUAGCAGCCAUGCGUUAGAAUGUUUUACUUUUUCAUGGAUCAUGUUGAAUAUAAAUUUGACAAUUACAGUAAUAAGUGUAUUUUGCCAGC
Molecule: long non-coding RNA, 795 nt
Filed under: Sorghum bicolor (sorghum)
Lineage: Eukaryota; Viridiplantae; Streptophyta; Magnoliopsida; Poales; Poaceae
Description: long non-coding RNA (SBIC_LNC015257)
Source: RNAcentral